GGGCAACUCCAGCGUUACUCUUAGUAGGGUUUGAUUCAUCUCUGAGGUGACUCCAGCGUUACGCUAGUCGACUCUUAGUAGGGUUUGAUUCAUCUCUGAGGUGACGCCAGCGUUACGCUAGUCGACUCUUAGUAGGGUUUGAUUCAUCUCUGAGGUGACGCCAGCGUUACGCUAGUCGACUCUUAGUAGGGUUUGAUUCAUCUCUAAGGGGCAACUCAAGCGUUACUCUUAGUAGGGUUUGAUUCAUCUCUAAGGGCAACUCCACCGUUACGCUAGUCGACUCUUAGUAGGGUUUGAUUCAUCUCUAAGGGGCAACUCAAGCGUUACCCUAGUCGACUCUUAGUAGGGUUUGAUUCAUUUCUGUUUGGGGUUCACACUCUGUUUAGUCUAGGAAAUAGGAAAAGGCAAAAAAAAAAAAAAAAAAAGAAAAGCAACUUUGUUACACAAAUAUUCUAGUAUUGGAAAUCUGCACAGCGACAGCACUGUGGGAGAGAGCUGAGUUCAUGGUUGUGACUUCCACUCAGAGACAGGACUGUGAUCGGUGAGGAAACCUGCAUUACUGUCUCUGUCUCCAGCGUCCCCGUCACCACCACCACCACCUGAUCAAUCAGUGUCACCUUUUCAUUUGUUUUGUUCAAUAGUGUGCGUUUGUGAAAGAAAGAUUGUCUUGCUGUUCGAAGCCAGUAGAUCAUUAUGUUCCACACACAGUUAGCUGUCAAACACCACAGAACGAAGAAAAAAAAGAACAUUGUGAAAAGUGUGUGUAUGUUUGUCUGUCUGUUUUGUGUGGGUGUGAGCACAUAUGAGUGUGUUGUCUGUGUCUGUAUAUAUCUGUACCAAAGAGUUUGCCUUGAUCUGUAUAUUGCAGCCAUGUACAGUUUUUAAGAAAUCAUACUAUUGUAUCUUAGCUAAGAUUAUUUAGCGGGAUAGUAAUGUUUUAAUAAAGCAUUUGGAAGACGUGUGCAAACUCAUUUGUCUGUGCAGUGCAUUUCUCCUCAGUGAACCCAGUUUAAUUAAC
Clupea harengus (Atlantic herring) is the source of this 1018-nucleotide long non-coding RNA. NCBI's taxonomy places the organism in Eukaryota, Metazoa, Chordata, Actinopteri, Clupeiformes, Clupeidae. The record is from Ensembl.